This 481-nucleotide ribosomal RNA is filed under the name uncultured bacterium. Its description in RNAcentral is "bacterial SSU rRNA". It matches the Rfam family "Bacterial small subunit ribosomal RNA", at positions 27 to 507 of the family's 1533-position model. The record is from RNAcentral.
GAACGAACGCUGGCGGCGUGCCUAACACAUGCAAGUCGUGCGAGAAAGUUCCUUCGGGAGCGAGUAAAGCGGCGCACGGGUGAAGUAACACGUAGGUAACCUGCCCCCCAGUCUGGAACAACUAGAGGAAACUCUAGCUAAUGCCGGAUGAGACCACGAUCCCUUCGGGGGUUGCGGCAAAGAUGGCCUCUACUUGUAAGCUAUCGCUGAGGGAUGGGCCUGCGGGCCAUUAGCUUGUUGGUGAGGUAACGGCUCACCAAGGCUGUGAUGGCUAGCUGGUCUGAGAGGAUGACCAGCCACACUGGGACUGAGACACGGCCCAGACUCCUACGGGAGGCAGCAGUGGGGAAUAUUGCGCAAUGGGCGAAAGCCUGACGCAGCGACGCCGCGUGAGUGAUGAAGGCCUUCGGGUCGUAAAGCUCUGUCGUAUGGGAAUAACACAAUGAAUGUACCAUGCAAGAAAGGAUCGGCUAACUUCGUG